GUAUGUUAUUGGAAUGGUUGAUGGCGCAGAAUCCCCAAGGCAAAACCUAUAAAACGGACACCGAUGACAAAUGCAGCAUAUUUAUAACUUGCCUAGUAUGUGCAUACAAUCUGCAAUGCUUUUCUAUCUCAAAAGUCUGACAUAGAUACCGGAUUGAACUCAACUGAACUUGUCACAACAGUGGACAAUGGAGAAUCGAACUCAACACCACCCAAUUGCACAUCCCUUUCAUUGACAGAAAUCCUCAGAUGCUACGGGGGUGUUAUACCAUUCAACCAAAUGCCCCUGAGUUGAUGUUGCAACGAAAAAAUUAAACGCAAUUUACAAACCUUCACAUACAUGUGCCUGGAUUUUCAUAUCUCAUCUCAAUUAUUCAUUUAAUCAGGCUUAUUUUUGCUACACAUUAUUAACAAAAUUAUGUUCAGAUUCAUCAUUGACAAGCUGUUUUGGAUAAAUAUUUUGAAUAAACAAGAUAAAACAUGUCCCUGCAGCAGAAUUAGAUCUCAAACGGAGCUGUUGACAAACCAGCCAACAAACUAAUCAAUUCCAGUGGACAGGAACUCAACGAUGUUCGCCAGGACUGCAAUUCGAAACUAUAAUAAAUCUAAACUCAGCUUCAUAUACGGUAUCUGGGUGCUCAAGACCAUGCUAUUUUGUUGUUGCAUAUUUGCGUGAUCAUCACAUCAUCAUGCUGGAUCUGAAAUCCAACUAUUCAAUAGGUGUAGCCUAUUCACUCUUGGAAGUCGGGCCUGACAUCUGCUUGCAACAAGAAAGCAUUCAUCCUUAGAUAGGAGGAAGAAAGGGAGGGUGUCUGCCAAAAAAUACAUGUAUAUUCAGGCUUCGAACACUUAAGAGGAGGCUCAAUCCAACUAGUUACAAAUCGAGGUGGAUUAUAAUAAUAAUAAAAUGUCCACAUUUACAGCGAUGGUUGUAGUCACACAUACGUAUAAUUUUUCUCUCAAAA
RNAcentral lists this small RNA (964 nucleotides) under Histoplasma capsulatum var. duboisii H88. RNAcentral describes it as "Histoplasma capsulatum H88 hypothetical RNA". Lineage: Eukaryota; Fungi; Ascomycota; Eurotiomycetes; Onygenales; Ajellomycetaceae. The record is from RNAcentral.